GAGAAGCCCGGUAGCGAAAGCGACUCUCUGGUCCAAUACUGACGCUGAGGUGCGAAAGUGUAGGUAGCGAACGGGAUUAGAUACCCCGGUAGUCUACACCGUAAACGAUGAGCACUAGGUGGUGGAAACGCCGAUAGUUUUCUCCGCCGUAGCUAAUGCAUUAAGUGCUCCGCCUGGGGAGUAUGGUCGCAAGAUUAAAACUCAAAGGAAUUGACGGGGGCCCACACAAGCGGUGGAGGAUGCGGCUUAAUUCGAGGACACGCGUAGAACCUUACCGAGGCUUGACAUGCAGGGAUUAACCAGGUGAAAGCCUGGGGAUUGCCUUACGGUGUAACCUGCACAGGUGCUGCAUGGCUGUCGACAGUUCGUGUCGUGAGAUGUUAGGUUAAGUCCUGUAACGAGCGAAACCCCUAUGCUUAAUUGCCAGCGCGUUAUGGCGGGGACCUUAAGCAGACUGCCCCGGCCAACGGGGAGGAAGGUGGGGAUGACGUCAAGUCAGCAUGGCCCUUAUGCCUCGGGCUGCACGCGUCCUACAAUGGGCUGUAUAAUGAGUUCCGAUCCCGCGAGGGGGAGGCAAUCUUCAAAGCAGUCCUCAGUUCGGAUUGCAGGCUGAAACUCGCCUGCAUGAAGGUGGAAUCGCUAGUAAUCGCCGGUCAGCUAUACGGCGGUGAAUACGUCCCUGGGUCUUGUACACACCGCCCGUCAAGCCACCCGAGUUGGGUGCGCUCGAAGUCCAAGACUCAACCUGCUUGCAGGAGAGAUUGGCCGAAGGUGAACCUGAUGAGGUGGACUAAGUCGUAACAAGGUACC
Molecule: ribosomal RNA, 810 nt
Filed under: uncultured bacterium
Lineage: Bacteria
Description: bacterial SSU rRNA
Rfam family: Bacterial small subunit ribosomal RNA
Source: RNAcentral